UGGGGAAUAUUGGGCAAUGGGCGAAAGCCUGACCCAGCAACGCCGCGUGAAGUAUGAAGGCCUUCGGGUUGUAAACUUCUUUGAUCAGGGAAGAAACAAAUGACGGUACCUGAAAAACAAGCCACGGCUAACUACGUGCCAGCAGCCGCGGUAAUACGUAGGUGGCGAGCGUUAUCCGGAUUUACUGGGUGUAAAGGGCGUGCAGGCGGGCUGAUAAGUCAGAUGUGAAAUCCCCGAGCUUAACUCGGGAACUGCAUCUGAUACUGUUGGUCUUGAGUGCAGGAGAGGAAAGUGGAAUUCCCAGUGUAGCGGUGAAAUGCGUAGAUAUUGGGAGGAACACCAGUAGCGAAGGCGGCUUUCUGGACUGCAACUGACACUGAGGCACGAAAGCGUGGGUAGCAAACAGG
This 407-nucleotide ribosomal RNA is filed under the name Verrucomicrobiota bacterium. Its description in RNAcentral is "Verrucomicrobia bacterium partial 16S ribosomal RNA". It matches the Rfam family "Bacterial small subunit ribosomal RNA", at positions 355 to 776 of the family's 1533-position model. The record is from RNAcentral. Lineage: Bacteria; Pseudomonadati; Verrucomicrobiota.